UGUUUGCGUUAAGGAUUGAAGUGACAUCCUUUUUUGCUUUAUCUGCAAAAAAGAUAUAACGGAAAGCCUGUAAAAAC
This 77-nucleotide small RNA is filed under the name Pedobacter psychrophilus. Its description in RNAcentral is "Pedobacter sp. CCM 8644 Flavo-1 RNA". It matches the Rfam family "Flavo-1 RNA". The record is from Rfam by way of RNAcentral. Lineage: Bacteria; Pseudomonadati; Bacteroidota; Sphingobacteriia; Sphingobacteriales; Sphingobacteriaceae.